RNAcentral lists this ribosomal RNA (495 nucleotides) under uncultured bacterium. Its description in RNAcentral is "partial 16S ribosomal RNA". It matches the Rfam family "Bacterial small subunit ribosomal RNA", at positions 28 to 507 of the family's 1533-position model. The record is from RNAcentral.
GACGAACGCUGGCGGCGUGCCUAAUACAUGCAAGUAGAACGCUGAAGGAGGAGCUUGCUCUUCUGGAUGAGUUGCGAACGGGUGAGUAACGCGUAGGUAACCUGCCUGGUAGCGGGGGAUAACUAUUGGAAACGAUAGCUAAUACCGCAUAACAGUAGAUGUUGCAUGACAUUUACUUAAAAGGUGCAAUUGCAUCACUACCAGAUGGACCUGCGUUGUAUUAGCUAGUUGGUGGGGUAACGGCUCACCAAGGCGACGAUCCAUAGCCGACCUGAGAGGGUGAUCGGCCACACUGGGACUGGGACACGGCCCAGACUCCUACGGGAGGCAGCAGUAGGGAAUCGUCGGCAAUGGACGGAAGUCUGACCGAGCAACGCCGCGUGAGGGAAGAAGGUUGUCGGAUCGUAAAGCUCGGUUGUAAGGGAAGAACGAGUGUGAGAGUGGAAAGUUCACACUGUGACGGUAGCUUACCAGAAAGGGACGGCUAACUACGUG